This 3394-nucleotide long non-coding RNA is filed under the name Limulus polyphemus (Atlantic horseshoe crab). Its description in RNAcentral is "uncharacterized LOC111088868". The record is from RNAcentral. Lineage: Eukaryota; Metazoa; Arthropoda; Merostomata; Xiphosura; Limulidae.
AAUUAUAGCGUGUGUUUAAGUUAAAGUGACUGUGGAAAUUAUGUGUAUUGCAAAGUUGUAUUGAGAAAGGACUUGUAUCACUGAAGUUCUUCAGAAAGAAUAUUUAGGAGAAAUUAACAAGCAUAAGAGACGUAACAAUAUUAAAACAGUUAUCCCUAUUAAAGAAUAACUAAACUUAUAGUUUUCAGAGAAACAAGAAAAGGUAAUCUUGCUAGAAGCAUCAUAGAUUUAUAAUUAAACUAACUGUAGCUUAUACAUUAAAUUUUACAGAUCCACAAAUAAACAUUAUUAAUAACAAGUAUGUGCUUAAAUUUUUGUUCAAAAUCUUUAAAGACAAGUAUCAUACAUUGUUACUUGCAUGGUAAUUUGCACAGACUUGGACUCAAUAUAGAAUUAUAUUAGUAUUAAUCAUAUUAUUAAUAAUUAUCAUUACUAAGCCAAAGAGAGAAGUAAUAAUCUAUCUUUAUUCAAAUUAAUAAUUUAAUAUAAGUUUAAAUCCCAUCUUAAAAGUUAUAGUUAUAUGACUAAGGAAUCAGACUUUAUCAAAAACAUCCAAAUUUCAAAAUCAGAGGAAAACAGAAACUUCUGGAAUUUAAGAACGUGAAAUCAAAAUGUCAAAACUUGUAAUACAAACUACAGUGGACUUGUACUAAAUUAGGUGUAAACUGUACUCAAUGUUAGGUUACUGGAGUGAGGCCGGAUGUGCAAUUAAAAUAUAUGCUUUUUAUUUUUUGAAAAGUAAACAAUUAUUGAUAUUCUUUUAGUCUUGAAUACAAAGUAUUAUGGGAAAUAGCUAAAAGCUCUACUGUAAAGUGUCAGCAGAAAGUAAGUGUCCAAGUCUGCCACCAAAUGGUGGUGCUUCAAGUGACAGUCAGUUGAAUGAGAGGAGUAGAAUUGCAAGAAAGCUUGAUCCUGUUGACUUGUUAAAUUUUUAGGACUUGUUUGUACCUUAUCAUAUCCAUAUUAACAUGCCAAAGCUUUUCAAGAGAAAAAAAAAAGAAAUAUCAUGUAAAACAGAACUCAAUGACAGGAAAAUAGCUAGUAAAUGAAUUCACACUGAAAGGUUAAUUGAACAAGAAAAAAAUAUAAAAUUCUUAAUCAGCCAAUGAAUGCUAAAGAAACUCAGGCAGUGAAAUGAUAUUCAUUCACUACAUGCUUUACAACUUUAAAAAAUGUAUUGUCUUAAAGAUGCAUAGCUAAUAACACAGUGCAAUUUGAUGUAAAAUUUUAUGUUACAAUUAAAUUUGUAUUAUUAAGUACCAGUUACUAUUAAAGCAUUAUUUCUCCUUUAUUUUGUGUUCCUCCACAGUCUAAUAAAAUGCCAACAAAUAGUUUCAGGUAUGUAUGGAUUUUACUUACUUCAUAUGAACAUUUUAGUUUGAAUUUUUAAACCAAAAUACUGAUAUACACAUGUUGUACAGAAUGAUACCAUGUGUUUACUACCCCACACCAGUUAGUAUGUAGUUUUUCUUGAACUUUCUAUAUUCUUACAGUUCAGUUUGGACCCAGAGACUUGCUCAAGUAAACAUUUCCUUAUUUUAGUUGCAUAUGGGACCAGAUUCAUUAAUUUGUUAUUGCGUUUUCUUGCACAAAAAAUAGCUUUGAUUUCACAUGUGAUGUCGCAAAACAGACAGCUGUUUUUUUUGUCAGUGAAUUAUGCAAUGGCCAGGGGCUUCUUCACCCUCUAUGCUCGAACAUGUAUGGUUUCAGGUCAGUUGUGCAAGGUGUAUGUAUUAAGCAACCUAGUUUUUUUCAUGUUAUUGUAUUUUAGUGUUUAAAAGCCAGGAUCUUACUUGUUAAGCAGAUUUUGAGCUUUCAUAGACUUUUUGAUUUGGAGUGAUUUUUGAUUAGAGAUCUUGUUAGCUUUCAUUUAGUUCAUGCUCUACUUUGAAAGGUUUGACCUACAUUAACAUUGUAGAAUUAUUUUACAUUUAAGAUUUUUUUAACUUAUGGGGGCUCAUACUGAAUUGAUGAGAGAAAACCAAUAAAGGUUUCUGUUCACAUUCCUUCUCUUACAUCUACUAUAAACACUUGCCCUUGUUUUUAUUUCAUUAUAUUUGUACUUUGAUUGUCGUUUUGUAUGUUUGUAUUCUGACUCCUUUUUUGAUGAACUCAGUAGGAGCUCCAAAAGUUAACAAACCUGUGUACUGUUACAUUAUAUUUGUCAGAACUCCAAUUAAGUGGACCCUACAUAAUGCUCUGUAAAAGAGCUGUUUACCAGGAAAUACCACACAUGUAUACACAACAAAUUAGGUUUAUUUUUUAGAAGCAAAUCAAUAUUUGAUCUCCACAAGCAGUUCUUUGUCUACAACUUAAUCUAGUGAUGAUGAACGGUAAAGAUGACAAGGAUUCACAAAUAGGAACAUUUGAUCUCCUCAAGCAGUUCUUGGUCUAUAAUACCAUCUGGUAGUGAUAACAGGCUCUUUGUCGCUAUCCCUAAUUUUGAACUACUGACCAGAGGGAAGUUAGUUAACAGCACUCUACAGCUCACCAUUCACGAUGGGGGAUUGACUACCACUCUUGUAACGUAUCCACAUCAGUGACUUUAGAAACCGACACCUUAUCCAAGAUUCAAUAAAAGAGGUUACAGGAUUUGGUCUUCAGCAUAAGACGUGUACUGUGCUGAAUCGUAUCCGCACCGGGCUAGCAACGGAUUAAAGACACCCCUGUAUGUGUGUGUGUGUAAUUUUGAACAUCCAACUCAAACAACCGAUUACAUUAUAUAUUUGUGCCCUAAACGCCGCUUUUCGGGAGGUAUCGGUGACCUCCAUACAACAACACCUGAUGCUAUCAAAUAAAUCUGAAGUUUCGAUAUACAACUCUAAUUUGCUGUUUUAAUACUUCAUACGAAGAAGAACGUGCCCACAACUUAUAGUGUGUAUGCGUGGAAGGAGGGAUGUUUGUGGUAUUGAAUGGAUUGGACCUCAGUUCGCCGGCUACUACAAGUGGAAGGAGGGAUCUUUGUGGUGUUGAAUGGAUUGGAACUUAGUUCGCCAGCUACUACAAGGCCAAACCACAUACCUCAGGGAAAGAUCAAUUUCAUGAUCUAGUCGGCCAAAAACUCAUUAAAAUUCUAAAUGAAAGCACUGAUGUGAUGAAUCUUUUUACCAAACUUUUUAGUAAAAAUGUUUGUAAUCAUAUGAAAAGUUAUUCAUCGUGUUUUAAUAACUUCAUUCAGAGACCAAUACGAUCAUUUUGUCCUUUAAGGCUGUCUCUACACGCCUCCCCCUCGCUAUUAAGAAAAGUAAAAAUAUAUGUCAACCUUUAAUUUUUCAGGAAAUUAUUGAUUUUCUUUUUCAAACUUUCGUAAAACGUCAGCCUCUACUACUGCUGACAGCGACUCGUCUUUUAAGUCAAUUACCCUGUUAGAAAAAUAAAAAUGUCUUAAUUCAAA